GUCUCGAUGGUCUAAUGGUUAUGACGUGCGUCUCACAUCCACCCGGGAUUGAACCGGGUCGUGCACUCAAGGUUCCCGGUUCGAUCCCGGGUCGAGACA
Non-coding RNA from Jaapia argillacea MUCL 33604, 99 nucleotides. The record is from the annotation of a GenBank genome assembly. Lineage: Eukaryota; Fungi; Basidiomycota; Agaricomycetes; Jaapiales; Jaapiaceae.